UACGACGAUAGUAAGUACAGAAUUUCCGUCUGCUCUACAUAUUCAACAGAGCAACUUCGAGUGUACUCACAGUAAAAGAGUAUGUAUUUGUACUUGUUGUACCUUAAAGGGUAUUAAAGUACCUUUUUCUUCUCAAGAAAGUGUCAAUUAUGGUGAAGAGUUAUUUGAAGAUCAGAAGCGAAGCUCAUGAUUCUUGAUGUUUUGCAACAAUCUAAACUUUAAAUAAAAAAGGGUACACGAAUCAACUUAUUCGUUGACAGGGUAUUUAUUCAAUCAAGUAGAAUCAGUCGCGACGCGAAAAUAGCCCGUGAUCUUACGCUGAAGACGGACAAAGAUUACGAUGGAAUAGUGAAACAUCAAAGCUUGCUACAGUAAUGCGAUUAAGCUCAAAGUAGCUGGACAUUUCGCCCGUGUCCGAAAGGAGCCAUGAAUUCGCAUGCGGAAAAAGUAAGAGGGUAUGGAAGUCCCGAAGAUGGAGGAGUCGUGUCAUCGUCAGAGGCUUAGGUCGAGUUCGUAAUGCGAUUCAACUUGAUAGGAGCUUAUGUUGCCCGAAAGUGCUGCCUGGGCAAUAGGAGACCGACUUUUGGACAACGCAAUUCACCGAAGAAAAAAAUCUGUUGGCCCAUGUUAGGAAGCUAUAAACGGAGAUUGCACUUAGCCUUUUUACCUUGGAUCAACUGAUCCGUUUAUAUCAGAGGAGCAGUGAGCAGAAACAGUAAAAUUUACUGUGAAAAAUAAG
Long non-coding RNA from Nomia melanderi (Alkali bee), 739 nucleotides. RefSeq lists it as uncharacterized. The record is from RefSeq and is a predicted model, not a curated record. Lineage: Eukaryota; Metazoa; Arthropoda; Insecta; Hymenoptera; Halictidae.